Molecule: small nuclear RNA, 293 nt
Filed under: Peromyscus maniculatus bairdii (prairie deer mouse)
Lineage: Eukaryota; Metazoa; Chordata; Mammalia; Rodentia; Cricetidae
Description: 7SK RNA (ENSPEMG00000027587.1)
Rfam family: 7SK RNA
About the family: 7SK was discovered as an abundant small nuclear RNA in the mid-70s but a possible function has only recently been suggested. Two independent studies have found that 7SK RNA binds the CDK9/cyclin T complex (known as elongation factor P-TEFb).
Source: RNAcentral
GGAUGUGAGAACAAUCUGGGAGUGACAUCUGUCACCCCAUUGAUUGCCAGGGUUGGUUUGGCUGAUCUGGCUGGCUAGGCUCCUGCCCACUUCCUCCCCCACUACUCCAUGUGCUUCCCUCUGGAGAAACUUCCUCAAACAGAGGCAGACUGGUCUUUGGUCAAGGGUAUAAGAGUAACUGCAUUCCCCAUCUAGAAAUUGCAAGCGACCUUGUAAAAAUACUUUUUAUCCUUAUCAUUCAGUAGGUAAAACCGGAUAAACCAAUAUUAGUUUAUUUCCAACAUAAACCUUUU